Molecule: long non-coding RNA, 771 nt
Filed under: Mytilus galloprovincialis (Mediterranean mussel)
Lineage: Eukaryota; Metazoa; Mollusca; Bivalvia; Mytilida; Mytilidae
Source: RNAcentral
GUCCGGCGGGAGAGCUUUCCGAAAUCGACCACCAAACAAACAUUGCAGCUGAAGGUUCCCUGGUAGACGACGAUCAAUAGACCUGAGAACCUGAAAUAAUUUGUCGUGGUCCUGAAUUGUCCUGAUGAUGGUAAACCCAGAUAAGGGCUUUGGACGCAAGAAAUUAUUAAACUUGUUGUUUUCAAUAUUUUACACUACUGAGUCGAUACCUCUGCUGGUGGACUAUCGGUCCCCGAGGGUAUAAUCAGCUCAGUAGUUAGUACUUCGGUACUGACAUGAUUUAACUAACUUUACUAAAAUUGUCCGUUUAUAAAUUUUGAAAUUAUAAAAAAAAAAGAAGGUUUAAACUUCCUCAGGCAAAGUUGGCUUUGGAUGAAUUUGGGUAUUUAAUUUAGGUAUUUUUUUACAUAUAGCUCUUCAACGGUUUCGGUACUUAUACAUCUUCGGAUUUCAAAUGUUUGAACGCUUCGAACACAAUAAAUUGUUAAACGUGUUGUUUUCAAUAUUGUACUGAUCCCGAAAUUUCCAAAACGGAUGUCAUUAUGUCUGAGAAUCUGGGUGCCGAAAUGUCUUGCUACUCAUUGAAAAAGUACUUGUACCCGAUAGUGACAAUAAUUAUAACUUACAUAAAAUUUACUGCAACCGUAAAUGGUCAGAACAAUUUGGAUCUGUGUGUCAACUAGGUCUGUACCUCACCUGAAAUUCAGACUCGGUUUAUGGUUCACUGUGAAAUUCACAGUAAAUCCGUUGUGUAUAGGUUUGAUGCACAAC